Molecule: small nuclear RNA, 107 nt
Organism: Onychomys torridus (southern grasshopper mouse)
Lineage: Eukaryota; Metazoa; Chordata; Mammalia; Rodentia; Cricetidae
Source: RefSeq, a predicted model, not a curated record
CUGCUCACUUCCACAUCUCACACACUAAAAUUGGAAUGAUACAGAGAAGAUGUGCUUGGCCCCUGCUCAAGGAUGACAUGCAAAUCUAUGAUGUGGUGGCUGUUCUU